GGCACUUGGGGGUCAGAGGCACUUGGGGGUCAGUGACAUUGGGGACAGUGGCACUUGGGGGACAGUGGCACUUGAGGGUCAGUGACAUUUGGGGAGAGUGGCACUUGGAGGUCAGUGACAUUUGGGGUCAGUGGCACUUGGGGGUCGGUGACAUUUGGGGUCAGUGACAUUUGGGGUCAGUGGCACUUGGGGGUCAGUGACAUUUGGGGAGAGUGGCACUUGGGGGUCCGUGGCACUUGGGGGUCAGUGGCACUUGGGGGUCAGGUGGUGACACCUCCACUCUGGGUGUCCCCAACAGUCGGUGGCACUGUCCCUUGUGUCCCCUCUGUCCCCAGUGUCCCCACUCCCAGUGUCACCUCCCAUGUUGUCCCUUCCUACAGUGUCACCUCCACUCCCGGUGUCCCCAGCAGUCGGUGCCACUGUCCCUUGUGUCCCCUCUGUCCCCGGUGUCCCCACUCCCAGUGUCACCUCCACUCCCGGUGUCCCCAACAGUCGGUGGCACUGUCCCUUGUGUCCCCUCUGCCCCGAAUGUCCCCACUCCCGGUGUCCCCUCCACUCCCGGUGUCCCCAACAGUCGGUGGCACUGUCCCUGCUGUCCCCUCCACUCCCAGUGUCCCCUCCCAGGGUGUCCCCUCCCAUGGUGUCCCUUCUCCCAGUGUCCCCUCCACUCUCGGUGUCCCCAACAGUCAGUGCCACUGUUCCUUGUGUCCCCUGUCCCCAUUGUCCCCUCUCCCGGUGUCCCCUCCCGUUGUGUCCCAACAGUCAGAUUCCCCUGCACUCCCUGAGUCCUCCCCACUCCGUGUCCCCCCCCAGCUCCGUGGGGUUCUGUGCUGUGGGGCUGCGGGUGUUGGUGCUGCGGGUGUUGGUGCUCCCAUGGGUGUUGGUGCUGCGGGUGUUGCUGAUCCCAUGGGUGUUGGUGCUGCGGGUGUUGUUGCUGCGGGUGUUGCUGAUCCCAUGGGUGUUGGUGCUGCGGGUGUUGUUGAUCCCAUGGGUGUCGGUGCUGCGGGUGUUGGUGCUGCGGGUGUUGCUGAUCC
This is a long non-coding RNA of Numida meleagris (helmeted guineafowl), 1034 nucleotides long. The record is from Ensembl. Lineage: Eukaryota; Metazoa; Chordata; Aves; Galliformes; Numididae.